RNAcentral lists this ribosomal RNA (233 nucleotides) under uncultured bacterium. RNAcentral's name for it is "partial small subunit ribosomal RNA". It matches the Rfam family "Bacterial small subunit ribosomal RNA", at positions 26 to 288 of the family's 1533-position model. The record is from RNAcentral.
AGAGCGAACGCUGGCGGCAGGCUUAACACAUGCAAGUCGAACGAACCCUUCGGGGUUAGUGGCGGACGGGUGAGUAACACGUGGGAACGUGCCUUUAGGUUCGGAACAACACAGGGAAACUUGUGCUAAUACCGGAUGUGCCCUUCGGGGGAAAGAUUUAUCGCCUUUAGAGCGGCCCGCGUCUGAUUAGCUUGUUGGUGGGUAAAGGCUCACCAAGGCUACGAUCAGUAGCU